RNAcentral lists this long non-coding RNA (2837 nucleotides) under Homo sapiens (human). RNAcentral's name for it is "non-protein coding lnc-IGIP-2:2". The record is from RNAcentral. Lineage: Eukaryota; Metazoa; Chordata; Mammalia; Primates; Hominidae.
CCAGAGGUGCAUUUUUCUUAUUUCCAUAUAGUAAAGUUGAGCUUUUACAGUGCAUAAUGUGACAUUUGGAAUGCUUAUCAACUGCAUGUAAACAUUAAUAACCUGCACUUUUUUGUCUUAAGGUUUGUUGAGCUGUUUUGUUCACUGUACUUUAACUGUGAUAUGGAAAAGACUGCAUUCUCUGUGCUGUUACUAAUUAGGAAAGAGAAUUGCUUUGAUUUUGUCUCUUGUUUACUAUAGCUUCUUAAAGUUAAGCCUUGUACUACAGGUUGUUGGAGUACUCCUAGAUCACUGUUUCAUAGUAGCCAGCAAUAAGUAGUGCAAGUCAACAAAAACACAGCAAACUUAGGCAAAGUGUCCUUUCUUUGAGAUGCGAGUUCUUUCAUGAGGUUUUCUUUAGGGCCAGAGUUACCUAAAGUGAAGCCUUUCUUAUCUAUAGACUUCAGAUUCUGCUUGGAAUCCCACCGGCUCAAGAAGCACAUGUAUUGUGCAAUUAAUUGUCUUUACACUAAAACAGUUUAAUACAAUCUAACUACGAUUUUGAAACCAGUGUCUGAUUUAUGGUCAGUGGGUUUAAAAAGAAAUCCACAUGCAGAUCUUUUAAGACUUAAAAAGUGAUCAUAGAAAAGACUAAGUGACUGUAAAGAUGCUCUUUUUUUAAGCAUCUCACUUUACCUCCCCAAGCACCCUCCCAAACCUUGUCUUCCCUCUUCUGUUGCAUCCUUUCCCUACCCUUCCCUCCCAGGUGCUCGGUACUUUACCUAGUUUCUAUAUAUCAGUGUUUUAUGUUGGAAUUUUUCCUUGUUUUUAUUUUACUAGUUGGUAAACCCUGUUUAUGCUGAAACAAAUAAGGAAAUGGUAUAUUUGACCAUAUGUGUUAUUCAUAGAAGACAGUAUGAUCAAAUGUGCCAAAAACAAGCAAACAAAACUUAAUUCCUGAGAAGUAUGCCUUAUUUUUAUUGAUCUGCUUUGUCUUACAAUUAAGGUCCAAGAGCUUGGUUAAACUGUAUUAUUUGCCUAAGUAUAAAAGAAAACUUGAACUGCAUUGCAAUAUUGACGUUCUUUAAAAUGAGAGACACUGUCAAGUAAUUUAAUCCAGAGAUCAGCCACCAGAUUUGAAAUGCUUAUGUAUGUGUGUGUGUUUGGAGUUGUUUUUUUCUUUUAAAUCACCAAAUUUUUUUUAAGCUACUUUUUAUUUGUGCCUCCUAUUUAUCAUGCUGAUGUUAGAAGCAGCAGUCAUCCAGCCACAGAGGGAGCUAAAGUUAACUAACCAGAACUGUAGAAAUCAUUAUACAUGCCUUUGACAACAAAGGAAGUUCAUAAGAAAAGCCAUGUCGGCUUUUCCUCUACUAGAUACAGAUUGGAGGUAGAUGAAUAUUUGCCAAAUGGAAAAAAAGACAAUGCUAGUCAGAAAAGACAAACUGUUUUCCAGCUUCUCAAAAAGCCAUGGAGAGUAGAAACCAAAACCAACAGGGAAAUAAAAAACCUUGAAAGUCUCACUUUCUAGUUGUCCCAUGCAGGGGUUGAAAUUUGAUUCCAAGCGGAAAGUAUAUUAUGUUUUUUCAGGCCUUCACAUCUAGAGAGAUGGAUAACUUCCAAUUUGAUUUUUCAGGUAAUAGAGAAAGCUGCUAGUAAUUUUAACCCCUGCCUAAAGAAGACAUAUACUUCAUUUGGGAGCAAAUACUUAUUGCCUUGAAAAGUAGCACUGUAAUAGCCUAUGAUAAUUAGUUGUAGAAUAACCUUUAUCCCUUUCAAACUAUGCAAAUUAUUAAAUAAGUGUAAAUUAGGAUUCAAUUAAAGAUAGUUGAUUAUAUUGCAAUCAGAUGGCAAUAAUUCAAGAGGCCUCCAAGUUCAAGGACCAAGUCCUUCUAUUUUAGAAUUGUGAAAAACAUGGAAAUACUCUUGUUAGUGUGUGUUUUGGUCUAAGGUAGAUUAUUAACACAGAAGGAUCCUAGGAGGAUUUAAGAAAAUAUGUCCUUAUCGUGAAGUGGCAGUUAAAGUUAUGGGACAGGUGAAUUACCUAUUCAUCUUGACUAGCUCAAACAAUGAUAGCCAUCAGCUAAUGACUUAUCAGACACAUGUUGAGUUUGGGUCAAACUCCCAUUCAGCUGGAGUGGAUUGGCAAUUUUAAAUGCAGGUAGUUGGUGGUGGUACUUGACCUACCUCCUUACCAUGUACAUCUGGCAUCUUCUCUCUCCUAUCCUUUUUCUUUGUUUCUCUCUCCACUUUUACUCUUGCUGUAGGCCUACCAGUGGCACUCAAGCUUACUUCUUCAGAGAGAAGUAAAGAAAUUUCUGACUCCUGCCUUAGAACAUAGCUAACUGAUGAUCCAGAACAAUUUCAGUAUUAUGAGGUAACUGGGCAGUUUUUUUCUGAUUGCUAUUUUCCCCAUAGUCUUAAGCUGGCAGUUUGAAGGUAUCUAAAUUAAUGUUAAGAAACUUGUGAACUGAAGAGAGUAAGAAGUAUGUGUAUUUUAGGUAAGUUACUGGGAACUGAGACUUACUGGUUUGGAAAUUGGAGAGUAGGACGAGGAGAGCUGUUUAAUGUGUUUGUGGAUGGGGGUUUGAGAGGUAUAUAGAGAAUGGUUUGGAAAUAAAGUGAGAGGAAUUUUUACUAGAGGUAGGAAAAGGUACUAUGAUGGAGUCCGAAUGAGAGUUAUUUGCUAAGGAAAUGAAGUUGAUCUUCACUAAGGAAGUUUCAAUAAAGCCAGAGAAAAUGGGUCCCUCAUUGAUUAUGAGAAAGCUGUUAGUUACUAUAGCUAGAGUUAUGAUAAUGAUCAUGCAUUAUACAAGUCUGUUUUCAUGUAUAGGAUGUCUGCUUUUCUGGGACAAAUUAGC